RNAcentral lists this ribosomal RNA (254 nucleotides) under uncultured bacterium. RNAcentral's name for it is "partial 16S ribosomal RNA". It matches the Rfam family "Bacterial small subunit ribosomal RNA", at positions 524 to 776 of the family's 1533-position model. The record is from RNAcentral.
UACGUAGGGGGCAAGCGUUGUCCGGAUUUAUUGGGCGUAAAGAGCGUGUAGGCGGUUUGGUAGGUCCGCUGUGAAAACUCGAGGCUCAACCUCGAGACGCCGGUGGAAACCAUCAGGCUAGAGUCCGGAAGAGGAGAGUGGAAUUCCUGGUGUAGCGGUGAAAUGCGCAGAUAUCAGGAGGAACACCGAUGGCGAAGGCAGGUCUCUGGGCCAUUACUGACACUGAGAAGCGAAAAGCAUGGGGAGCGAACAGG